UAAGGAAUAUUGGUCAAUGGACGCAAGUCUGAACCAGCCAUGCCGCGUGGAGGAUUAAGGCCCUCUGGGUUGUAAACUCCUUUUAUCUGGGAAGAAAUGCUUUGAUUCUUCAAAGCUUGACGGUACCAGAGGAAUAAGCACCGGCUAACUCCGUGCCAGCAGCCGCGGUAAUACGGAGGGUGCAAGCGUUAUCCGGAUUCACUGGGUUUAAAGGGUGCGUAGGUGGGCAGGUAAGUCAGUGGUGAAAUCUCCGAGCUUAACUCGGAAACUGCCAUUGAUACUAUUUGUCUUGAAUAUUGUGGAGGUAAGCGGAAUAUGUCAUGUAGCGGUGAAAUGCUUAGAUAUGACAUAGAACACCAAUUGCGAAGGCAGCUUACUACACAAUCAUUGACACUGAGGCACGAAAGCGUGGGGAUCAAACA
This 422-nucleotide ribosomal RNA is filed under the name uncultured Chitinophagaceae bacterium. RNAcentral describes it as "bacterial SSU rRNA". It matches the Rfam family "Bacterial small subunit ribosomal RNA", at positions 355 to 774 of the family's 1533-position model. Lineage: Bacteria; Pseudomonadati; Bacteroidota; Chitinophagia; Chitinophagales; Chitinophagaceae. The record is from RNAcentral.